RNAcentral lists this transfer RNA (77 nucleotides) under Chloroflexota bacterium. RNAcentral's name for it is "Chloroflexi bacterium tRNA-Pro". It matches the Rfam family "tRNA". From Rfam's summary of the family: Transfer RNA (tRNA) molecules are approximately 80 nucleotides in length. Their secondary structure includes four short double-helical elements and three loops (D, anti-codon, and T loops). The record is from RNAcentral. RNAcentral also lists the same sequence under 1 other name. Lineage: Bacteria; Bacillati; Chloroflexota.
CGGGGAGUGGCGCAGUCUGGUAGCGCACUUGACUGGGGGUCAAGAGGCCGCACGUUCAAAUCGUGUCUCCCCGACCA